AAAGCAGUCGAACCUGCCCAGUGAUAAAUAUUUAACGGCCGCGGUACUCUGACCGUGCAAAGGUAGCAUAAUCAUUUGCCUUAUAAUUGAAGGCUUGUAUGAAUGGUUUGACGAAAACAAAGCUGUCUCUUUUUAAUUUUAUAAAACUUGAUUUUUAGGUGAAGAAGCCUAAAUAAAAUUGAAAGACAAGAAGACCCUAUCGAGCUUUAAAAAAUUUUAUUAAUAUAUAAUGAUUAAAAAAAUCAGCUAUAAUAAAAAAUUUUAGUUGGGGCGACUAAGGAACAAAAAAGCUUCCUUUUAAAAUAUAAAGCAAAUCAGCCAUGAUCCAAAAUUUUUGAUUAAAAGAAUUAGUUACCGUAGGGAUAACAGCAUAAUCUUUUUUGAGAGUUCUUAUCGAAAAAAAGGUUUGUGACCUCGAUGUUGGACUAGAAUAUCCUAAAUGAUGCAGA
This 449-nucleotide ribosomal RNA is filed under the name Eulodrobia fenshami. RNAcentral's name for it is "partial 16S ribosomal RNA". It matches the Rfam family "Bacterial large subunit ribosomal RNA", at positions 1846 to 2562 of the family's 2925-position model. Lineage: Eukaryota; Metazoa; Mollusca; Gastropoda; Littorinimorpha; Tateidae. The record is from RNAcentral.